RNAcentral lists this ribosomal RNA (500 nucleotides) under uncultured bacterium. Its description in RNAcentral is "partial 16S ribosomal RNA". It matches the Rfam family "Bacterial small subunit ribosomal RNA", at positions 30 to 523 of the family's 1533-position model. The record is from RNAcentral.
AUUGAACGCUGGCGGCAUGCCUUACAUAUGCAAGUCGAACGGCAGCACGGGAGCAAUCCUGGUGGCGAGUGGCGAACGGGUGAGUAAAGUAUCGAAACGUGCCCAGUCGUGGGGGAUAACGUAGCGAAAGUUACGCUAAUAACGCAUACGAUCUAUGGAUGAAAGCGGGGGAUCGCAAGACCUCGCGCGAUUGGAGCGGCCGAUAUCAGAUUAGGGAGUUGGUGGGGUAAAGGCUCACCAAGCCGGCGAUCUGUAGCUGGUCUGAGAGGACGACCAGCCACACUGGGACUGAUACACGGCCAAGACUCCUACGGGAGGCAGCAGUGGGGAAUUUUGGACAAUGGGCGAAAGCCUGAUCCAGCCAUGCCGCGUGCAGGAUGAAGGCCUUCGGGUUGUAAACUGCUUUUGUACGGAACGAAAAGGUUUGGCCUAAUAAGCUGAGCUCAUGACGGUACCGUAAGAAUAAGCACCGGCUAACUACGUGCCAGCAGCCGCCGUAA